AUUUAAACACAUGGGAAAAGGUGUCAGAUUUGAGAUUCAUGUAUGGCGAUAUAUUUCUUAUUCCUUAUCCAUUCGUCUGCACUAUCUAUGUUGAAUUAAAUUCAUGGAAACAAAAUGCAUUUGGAGAUAAAGCAGAAUACAGCAACGCAUAUAAUUGUGCCAACAUGUAUGGACCGAGAGAGCAUAUGAACAGAGAAAGAGCUGUUAAUCGGAGGAGACUGGAGAAUACAGUUGGAGUUUCACAAAUGCAACUCUAUGCAGAGAGAAACAUGUUGACAAAUGCAGCCCAUGUUAACAAGUCAAUCAAGACACGAAUUCAAGAAGACACGAUUGAUCCAAAACAGAACAGGCAGUAUUGUGAUUCUGCAAAUGUCGAUAAUGGUUAUGACAACAGAGGUUUGUGGGAAUGCAAGGGAUAUAUGAAAACUAAAAAGGCAGAAAACAGGCAGCGAGAAGAGCAAGAACCAAUCUUACAAAACGGAUCACAAGGAAACCCAGUGUUAAAAAAGGCAGGCUUUUUAGAGUUAUUGAAAAGUCUUUUUUCAGCAUUACUACAGCGCAUUUUUAGUGGAAUCCGUGAAGUCUUCUGAGGCACUGUCACUGAAAAUAUAUGGCAUAUCUUUACAAUGUUUCAUUAAACUGAUUUAAAUUAAUCCAGUUAUUUCAGAAUUUGAAGGUGCAUAAAGAUAUUCUAUAUACCUUUUGUGGUAUUGGAUUGUACUUGUUUUCAUUUUCUUUUUAACUGACAAAGAUUAAAUUAUACUUGAAUUAUUUUAAAAGCAUAUUCUGAUAUAUAUUGUCAUUAUUUAAAUUGUGAAAAAUAGUAUUUAAUCCAUACGUUUUUAGAAGAAGCUAAGUUAGCUUUUAAAUGAAGUUCUGUGCAUGAUCACAUUCAAAUAAAGUAUUUACUCUAGCUGCAGUAAUUUAUUUGGUGAAUUGGUAUUCUCCAAUUCAUCAGUUCUUCCAUGCAUUCAUUCAUUCACAAGUAUUUAUGUACCACUUAUGGUUGUUUUAAUGUAUUGUAAGCUGCCUUGUAUCUUGUGCUGGAAGAAAUGUGGGAUAAUAAAUACAAAAAUAAGAAAUGGUUAUAUGCAGGCAUUUCAAAAGCAGCGUGCAUCAAUAAAAUGUAAAAGAACGCAAUGCAAUCCUGAAUAUAU
This 1157-nucleotide long non-coding RNA is filed under the name Anolis carolinensis (green anole). RNAcentral's name for it is "lncRNA (ENSACAG00000041881.1)". The record is from RNAcentral. Lineage: Eukaryota; Metazoa; Chordata; Lepidosauria; Squamata; Anolidae.